GAUCAUGGCUCAGGACGAACGCUGGCGGCGUGCCUAACACAUGCAAGUCGAGCGGAGACAGUGAGUAGCUUGCUACGAGCUGUUUUAGCGGCGGACGGGUGAGUAACGCGUGAGCAACCUUUCCCAGACAGGGGAAUAACACACCGAAAGGUGUACUAAUACCGCAUAAGACCACGGGAUCACAUGGUUCUGGGGUAAAAGAAUUAUCGGUUUGGGGUGGGCUCGCGUCCGAUUAGGUAGUUGGUGAGGUAACCGG
Molecule: ribosomal RNA, 256 nt
Filed under: uncultured bacterium
Lineage: Bacteria
Description: partial 16S ribosomal RNA
Rfam family: Bacterial small subunit ribosomal RNA
Source: RNAcentral